This 119-nucleotide small RNA is filed under the name Phytobacter massiliensis. Its description in RNAcentral is "istR Hfq binding RNA". It matches the Rfam family "istR Hfq binding RNA". Lineage: Bacteria; Pseudomonadati; Pseudomonadota; Gammaproteobacteria; Enterobacterales; Enterobacteriaceae. The record is from RNAcentral.
CGCACAAUUUGCGCGCAGGAUGAAUUGAUCGUAUAGUUUCACUGUUGACGUAACACAGUGUGCUUGCGGCUACCACCCGCAAAAACCUGCUAAAAAACCUCGCUCCGGCGGGGUUUUUU